CCUACGGGAGGCAGCAGUGGGGAAUUUUCCGCAAUGGGCGAAAGCCUGACGGAGCAAUACCGCGUGAGGGAAGAAAGCCUACUGGGUUGUAAACCUCUUUUUUCAGGGAGGAAAAAAAUGACGUGUACCUGAAGAAUAAGCAUCGGCUAACUCCGUGCCAGCAGCCGCGGUAAGACGGAGGAUGCAAGUGUUAUCCGGAAUUACUGGGCGUAAAGCGUCUGUAGGUGGUUUAAUAAGUCAACUGUUAAAUCUUGAGGCUUAACUUCAAAACAGCAGUCGAAACUAUUAGACUAGAGUAUAGUAGGGGUAAAGGGAAUUUCCAGUGGAGCGGUGAAAUGCGUAGAUAUUGGAAAGAACACCGAUGGCGAAAGCACUUUACUGGGCUAUUACUAACACUCAGAGACGAAAGCUAGGGUAGCAAAUGGGAUUAGAUACCCCAGUAGUCCUAGCUGUAAACAAUGGAUACUAGAUGUUGAACAGAUCGACCUGUGCAGUAUUAAAGCUAACGCGUUAAGUAUCCCGCCUGGGAAGUAUGCUCGCAAGAGUGAAACUUAAAAGGAAUUGACGG
This 568-nucleotide ribosomal RNA is filed under the name uncultured bacterium. Its description in RNAcentral is "bacterial SSU rRNA". It matches the Rfam family "Bacterial small subunit ribosomal RNA", at positions 338 to 916 of the family's 1533-position model. The record is from RNAcentral.